AUUGAACGCUGGCGGCAGGCCUAACACAUGCAAGUCGAACGAGCGGCGGACGGGUGAGUAAUGUCUGGGAAUCUGCCCGAUAGAGGGGGAUAACUACUGGAAACGGUAGCUAAUACCGCAUACUAUCGGAUGUACCCAUAUGGGAUUAGCUUGUUGGUGGGGUAACGGCUCACCAAGGCGACGAUCCCUAGCUGGUCUGAGAGGAUGAUCAGCCACACUGGGACUGAGACACGGUCCAGACUCCUACGGGAGGCAGCAGUGGGGAAUAUUGCACAAUGGGCGCAAGCCUGAUGCAGCCAUGCCGCGUGUAUGAAGAAGGCCUUAGGGUUGUAAAGUACUUUCAGCGGGGAGGCGUUACCCGCAGAAGAAGCACCGGCUAACUCCGUGCCAGCAGCCGCGGUAAUAC
Molecule: ribosomal RNA, 406 nt
Filed under: uncultured bacterium
Lineage: Bacteria
Description: partial 16S ribosomal RNA
Rfam family: Bacterial small subunit ribosomal RNA
Source: RNAcentral